Molecule: non-coding RNA, 86 nt
Organism: Mycena rebaudengoi
Lineage: Eukaryota; Fungi; Basidiomycota; Agaricomycetes; Agaricales; Mycenaceae
Source: the annotation of a GenBank genome assembly
GCGCCGGUGGUGUAUCGGUAACAUUGGGUCUUCCCAACAAAAAGUCAUAAUUGGCCUAGCACCGGGUUCGACUCCCGGCCGGCGCA